GCGGGUGUGGUGGAAUUGGUAGACACGCCAGAUUUAGGUUCUGGUGCUCUUCGAGCGUGGGGGUUCAAGUCCCUCCACCCGCACCA
This 86-nucleotide transfer RNA is filed under the name Alphaproteobacteria bacterium. Its description in RNAcentral is "tRNA-Leu". It matches the Rfam family "tRNA". From Rfam's summary of the family: Transfer RNA (tRNA) molecules are approximately 80 nucleotides in length. The record is from RNAcentral. Lineage: Bacteria; Pseudomonadati; Pseudomonadota; Alphaproteobacteria.